This is a long non-coding RNA of Papaver somniferum (opium poppy), 658 nucleotides long. RefSeq lists it as uncharacterized. The record is from RefSeq and is a predicted model, not a curated record. Lineage: Eukaryota; Viridiplantae; Streptophyta; Magnoliopsida; Ranunculales; Papaveraceae. The transcript is spliced from 2 exons.
ACUCAUCUCCACCUUCUUCCCCUCGGUAAUCUUCUUUAAUGGCAACUUCACUAGAAAAACCAGCAAGAAGAGAAAGGAGACAACUGGUGUUACUACUGAUUUCAAUAAAACGGGAUGGAAUGAUUAAAUAAGUAGACGAAAUGAUCUUGGGUUGAUGAAGUAGGAUUUGUAUCGUUGUUAUCAGUAGUUUUUAUAUAACAAUUAGGGUUCUUGGAUGAGAACGAUGAAAUUGAAGCAGUAAUCAAAGGGGUUUUCGUCCAGCAAAUUGAAUCUCUGUUACAGAUACCAAACGUGACUUUAAUCAUGAAAUGUGGGAACCAGGUCGAAUAGCUCUAUUCUCUAACUCAUUCUCUAAUGGGGUUAGACUUCGUCUUCACAUCACAUCUGACUUUUUAAGAUCUCUAUUAUAAAUUAAGCUUUGUCGUUGUAUGUGAAAGUGUAAAUCCUAAUGAAGGAAUUUUGAUUUUAAUUUUGGUAAAUGAUGAAAUUGUAAUUGCAUCCGUGUACAAUUUUUAGGAUUCGUAUAGGUGGGUUAUGAUGGGAUUGCAUCCUAUGUGACCUUGCUGAUAGGAUUGCUUAUAUAUAGUUCCAAUUUUAAUUUUAAGUUGGAUUGGUAAUUUUUGAUUAAAAGAAUUUAGAAGGGGUUGAAGCUUAUGUA